RNAcentral lists this unclassified non-coding RNA (314 nucleotides) under uncultured Thelephoraceae. RNAcentral's name for it is "sequence contains ITS2". The record is from RNAcentral. Lineage: Eukaryota; Fungi; Basidiomycota; Agaricomycetes; Thelephorales; Thelephoraceae.
AACGCACCUUGCGCCCUUUGGCUAUUCCGAAGGGCAUGCCUGUUUGAGUAUCAUGAACACCUCAACUCUCAUGGUUUGCCAUGAUGAGCUUGGACUUUGGAGGUCUUGCUGGCCUGUGGUCGGCUCCUCUCAAAUGAAUCAGCUUGCCAGUGUUUGGUGGCAUCCCAGGUGUGAUAACUAUCUACGCUUGUGGUUUUCCAUCAGAUAACCUUCAGUGAUGGAGGUUCGCUGGAGCUCAUAAAUGUCUCUCCUCAGCGAAGACAGCUCUGUGAACGUUUGAUCUCAAAUCAGGUAGGACUACCCGCUGAACUUAA